This 444-nucleotide long non-coding RNA is filed under the name Cervus hanglu yarkandensis (Yarkand deer). Its description in RNAcentral is "lncRNA (ENSCHYG00000015328.1)". The record is from RNAcentral. Lineage: Eukaryota; Metazoa; Chordata; Mammalia; Artiodactyla; Cervidae.
CUGGUGCUGCUGGCGGGGUCGUUCCUCCGAGCUUGCCCUCCGCAGCGCGGGGAGGUUUCCCGACCCCAAGACUCGCUGGACGGACUUAGAGGACCGCUCCCUUACGGAAUACCCAUCCCUACAAUACUUCUGACUGUAUUUUCCUGUAAUUACUUGAACACACUUACAAUGUGCUGUGCUGAGUCACUUCAGUCGCGUCUGACUCUGAGACCCCACGGACCAUCGCCCGCCAGGCUCCUCUGUCCAUGGAAUUCUCUAGAAUUUACUUUCAAGAGCUUCAUUAGAUUGCUUUGUUUGUGAACUUCCAUUUUCUAACAUGAAGAUUACUGAAUUCGUUCUCUGAAGUUACAAGUCAUGUAAGCACUUUGUAUUUUACUGAAUAUAUUUUUUGGGGCUCCAAAAUCACUGCAGAUGGUGAUUGCAGCCAUGAAAUUAAAAGACGAU